CGCAUGGUAGGAGAGCGUUCCGUAAGCCUGCGAAGGUGCCUUGUAAAGGGUGCUGGAGGUAUCGGAAGUGCGAAUGCUGACAUGAGUAGCGAUAAAGGGGGUGAAAGGCCCCCUCGCCGUAAGCCCAAGGUUUCCUACGCAACGUUCAUCGGCGUAGGGUGAGUCGGCCCCUAAGGCGAGGCAGAAAUGCGUAGCUGAUGGGAAGCAGGUCAAUAUUCCUGCACCAUUGUUAGAUGCGAUGGGGGGACGGAUCGCGGAAGGUUGUCCGGGUGUUGGAAGUCCCGGUCGCUGCAUUGGAGAAGGCACUUAGGCAAAUCCGGGUGCGUAAUUCAAGGGUGUGGCGCGAGCUUCUUCGGAAGCGAAGCAAUUGGAAGUGGUUCCAAGAAAAGCCUCUAAGCUUCAGUCUAACGAUGACCGUACCGCAAACCGACACAGGUGGGCGAGAUGAGUAUUCUAAGGCGCUUGAGAGAACUCGGGAGAAGGAACUCGGCAAAUUGGUACCGUAACUUCGGGAUAAGGUACGCCCUUGUAGCUUGACUGGCCUGCGCCAGGAGGGUGAAGGGGUUGCAAUAAACUGGUGGCUGCGACUGUUUAAUAAAAACACAGCACUCUGCAAACACGAAAGUGGACGUAUAGGGUGUGACGCCUGCCCGGUGCCGGAAGAUUAAAUGAUGGGGUGCAAGCUCUUGAUUGAAGUCCCGGUAAACGGCGGCCGUAACUAUAACGGUCCUAAGGUAGCGAAAUUCCUUGUCGGGUAAGUUCCGACCUGCACGAAUGGCGUAACGAUGGCCACACUGUCUCCUCCCGAGACUCAGCGAAGUUGAAGUGUUUGUGAUGAUGCAAUCUACCCGCGGCUAGACGGA
This 863-nucleotide ribosomal RNA is filed under the name Burkholderia cepacia. RNAcentral describes it as "partial 23S ribosomal RNA". It matches the Rfam family "Bacterial large subunit ribosomal RNA", at positions 1222 to 2084 of the family's 2925-position model. Lineage: Bacteria; Pseudomonadati; Pseudomonadota; Betaproteobacteria; Burkholderiales; Burkholderiaceae. The record is from RNAcentral.